CUGUGUCGCUCACCUGUAUCUACUGUGUUUUUUUGAAAUCACGUAAUAAUAAGGUUAAAAACAUAACAAAUAGUAUAAAAAAACCUAAUGAUGAUUGAGGCCACGUUUGGUUCAUUUUGAACUAGUAGUUAAAUCAAAAGCAGAGCAUCCUAUUUGAUUCUUAGUAUAGUUACUAAAGAUCCCUUGUCAUUAUGAAGACUAAUUUUUAAGUUUUGACAUAUGAAAUUGUUUUUUCUUCUACAAUUGUCCCUUAAACAUCUAUAGUAAACCGAUAUGUUUUAUUUUUAGCAAUGGCAGCCUUUAUAGUUGGAUGACAUGGUCACCGGAUACAUUUGUCUAAUGAAGAAACCCUAUUGAAAAUUGUGACUAACUUAAUUAUAUAUGGCCCAAGGGGCCUGGUUUUCGAAAGUAUCAUAAGAUAUGUCAUAAGAUAUAAUCUUAGGACAUAUUUUAUGAUCAUCUUAUGACUAUCAUAUGAUAUGUCAUAGGAUGUAAAUCAAAGCUGUCUUAAGAGAGUCAUAGCUAUGAUGCUCUUAUGACUGUCAUAAG
RNAcentral lists this long non-coding RNA (549 nucleotides) under Mytilus galloprovincialis (Mediterranean mussel). The record is from RNAcentral. Lineage: Eukaryota; Metazoa; Mollusca; Bivalvia; Mytilida; Mytilidae.